RNAcentral lists this ribosomal RNA (253 nucleotides) under uncultured bacterium. RNAcentral's name for it is "partial 16S ribosomal RNA". It matches the Rfam family "Bacterial small subunit ribosomal RNA", at positions 524 to 776 of the family's 1533-position model. The record is from RNAcentral.
UACGUAGGGGGCAAGCGUUGUCCGGAUUCAUUGGGCGUAAAGAGCGUGUAGGCGGCCAGGUAGGUCGGUUGUGAAAACUGGAGGCUCAACCUUCAGAGGUCGACCGAAACCAUCUGGCUAGAGUCCGGGAGAGGAGAGUGGAAUUCCUGGUGUAGCGGUGAAAUGCGCAGAUAUCGGGAGGAACACCGGUGGCGAAGGCGGUUCUCUGGGCCUGUACUGACGCUGAGGAGCGGAAGCGUGGGGAGCGAACAGG